Regulatory RNA element from Clostridium botulinum A str. ATCC 3502, 91 nucleotides. It matches the Rfam family "ZMP/ZTP riboswitch aptamer (pfl RNA motif)". Rfam says of the family: Previously known as pfl RNA. ZMP is also known as AICAR. Lineage: Bacteria; Bacillati; Bacillota; Clostridia; Eubacteriales; Clostridiaceae. The record is from Rfam.
AAUAAAUCAUAUGACUGGCGGAAGUGGAAUUAACCACAGGGAGUAUGAUUUAGAAAUUUAAGUUAGAAUGUCGACCGCCUGGGCAAUAAAA